Molecule: ribosomal RNA, 467 nt
Filed under: uncultured bacterium
Lineage: Bacteria
Description: partial 16S ribosomal RNA
Rfam family: Bacterial small subunit ribosomal RNA
Source: RNAcentral
GACGAACGCUGGCGGCGUGCUUAACACAUGCAAGUCGAACGGAAAGGCCCUGCUUUUGUGGGGUGCUCGAGUGGCGAACGGGUGAGUAACACGUGAGUAACCUGCCCUUGACUUUGGGAUAACUUCAGGAAACUGGGGCUAAUACCGGAUAGGAGCUCCUGCUGCAUGGUGGGGGUUGGAAAGUUUCGGCGGUUGGGGAUGGACUCGCGGCUUAUCAGCUUGUUGGUGGGGUAGUGGCUUACCAAGGCUUUGACGGGUAGCCGGCCUGAGAGGGUGACCGGCCACAUUGGGAAGGAGAUACGGCCCAGACUCCCACGGGAGGCAGCAGGGGGGAAUAUUGCAAAAGGGGCGGAAGCCUGAUGCAGCAACGCCGCGGGCGGGAUGACGGCCUUCGGGUUGUAAACCGCUUUCGCCUGGGACGAAGCGGGAGUGACGGUAAUGGGUAAAGAAGCACCGGCUAACCACGG